UACAGAGGUCCCAAGCGUUGUUCGGAUUCACUGGGCGUAAAGGGUGCGUAGGUGGUCGGUCAAGUUCGAUGUGAAAUCUCCGGGCUCAACUCGGAAAUGGCAUUGAAUACUGCCCGGCUGGAGGGUCGAAGGGGAGACUGGAAUUCUCGGUGUAGCAGUGAAAUGCGUAGAUAUCGAGAGGAACACCAGUGGCGAAGGCGAGUCUCUGGACGACUCCUGACACUGAGGCACGAAAGCUAGGGGAGCAAAC
RNAcentral lists this ribosomal RNA (250 nucleotides) under uncultured bacterium. RNAcentral's name for it is "partial 16S ribosomal RNA". It matches the Rfam family "Bacterial small subunit ribosomal RNA", at positions 524 to 773 of the family's 1533-position model. The record is from RNAcentral.